AAAGAAAAAGCUCGUAGCACUGAGUCGCUCAUCCAAGCAUCAGGUAGUUCGCCUCUGAAUCGACAGCCUUCUUCGCCAUGCUUAUUGGUGCCCAAAGACAAGUGGAGAAGACGGCAACCUAUGCCUUGCCAAAUGGAUGUCGGCACUGAACCACAUCGUGGACAUCCAUGAGCAUGACGAUCCUGCCUAUCCAGUGUGCUACCACGGUGCUACUUCAGAGCCACGGGAAUGGCUUAAAGAAGACAGCGAAACGUACAGGAAAGUCGUGGACAUCCCAGAGGCCCCUGCACUCUAGAAAGAUGCCCCACUGCUGUCCUCACAGCACCAGACAUAUGGCCUGGAAGCAUUCCACAGUGUCCUCAUCCAUUUUGUUCCCAAACCUCAUUCAUUCAGUGAUGAGGCAAUGUUGGCAAGGACACAGUUAUCAGUGAUGCACUACAACUAGAAUGCUGACAGGGUCCAAAUCGAAAAGGAAGGGUCGAAACAGUAUCGACUGAAGCCCUCAAAAGUCAAGAAGGCCUGGGUUGCUGUACCACUCAAGGAGGACGCUACGUAUGGUACGUGACUGAUACAACAUUGUCUUUGGCAUGCAGGGUCGCAUUAUGCGAGAUACACAUUUCGUACAGGAGUGAAA
Long non-coding RNA from Ornithodoros turicata, 634 nucleotides. RefSeq lists it as uncharacterized. The transcript is spliced from 3 exons. The record is from RefSeq and is a predicted model, not a curated record. NCBI's taxonomy places the organism in Eukaryota, Metazoa, Arthropoda, Arachnida, Ixodida, Argasidae.